RNAcentral lists this ribosomal RNA (780 nucleotides) under uncultured Neocallimastigales. RNAcentral's name for it is "partial large subunit ribosomal RNA". It matches the Rfam family "Eukaryotic large subunit ribosomal RNA", at positions 24 to 637 of the family's 3401-position model. The record is from RNAcentral. Lineage: Eukaryota; Fungi; Neocallimastigomycota; Neocallimastigomycetes; Neocallimastigales.
GGUAGUCUCGCACAGAUGCAUAUCAAUAAGCGGAGGAAAAGAAACUAACAAGGAUUCCCCUAGUAACAGGCGAGUGAAGCGGGAAGAGCUCAAAUUUGAAAUCUUCAAGGUUUUACCUUGACGAAUUGUAGUUUAAAGAAGUGUUUUCUGUUGAAGUUUUGGUAAAAGUUCUUUGGAAUAGGACAUCAUAGAGGGUGAGAAUCCCGUAUAUUGACCAUUUACUUUUCAGCUGUGUGAUACACUUUCAAAGAGUCGGAUUGUUUGGGAAUGCAGUCCAAAAUGGGUGGUAAAUUUCAUCUAAAGCUAAAUAUAUGGCGAGAGACCGAUAGCGAACAAGUACCGUGAGGGAAAGAUGAAAAGAACUUUGAAAAGAGAGUUAAACAGUACGUGAAAUUGUCAAAAGGGAAGCGUUUGACACCAGUGUUGUUUUUCUGAAAAUCAAUUAAAGAACUGUUUAUGCUAAGCUGUUUAGACUUUAUCAGCUAACUGUUUAGUUUUGAGCUUUUCUUUAAUGCACUUUUCAGUUAACAAGUCAACAUCAAUUUCUUUUGCUGUAAAAAAGCUUGAGGAAGGUGGCUUGAGAUUCGUCUUAAGUGUUUAUAGCCUCUUGCCUAUGCAGUCGGAGAGAUUGAGGUCUGCAGCGUAGAUCCUUCGGGGCUAAAUGCAUUUGUGCUAAGUUAUAACAUUUUAUAGACAACUUGUUGACUAUGAUUUGUCUUGUAGCUUACUCGCUUAUGUUAUUUUACCUACGCUUAGGAUGUUGACAGCAGUAUAGACUGU